This 65-nucleotide transfer RNA is filed under the name Phodilus badius (oriental bay-owl). RNAcentral describes it as "tRNA-Cys". Lineage: Eukaryota; Metazoa; Chordata; Aves; Strigiformes; Tytonidae. RNAcentral also lists the same sequence under 1 other name. The record is from RNAcentral.
GGCCUUGUGGUGAAAUUCAUGUUGAGUUGCAAGCUCAUUGAUGUACAGUAAGUGUGCCGAGGCCU